Long non-coding RNA from Mesocricetus auratus (golden hamster), 583 nucleotides. RefSeq lists it as uncharacterized. The record is from RefSeq and is a predicted model, not a curated record. The transcript has 3 exons. Lineage: Eukaryota; Metazoa; Chordata; Mammalia; Rodentia; Cricetidae.
CUCUGUGAACACUCUGGGUUUCUCUGCUUAGGAGCCACACCCUUGGAUCUUUCUGGAAGGUUUAGCACCAGAACAGUGAUCAACAGUCUGAUCUUGGGAUGAAUUCCAAGGCAGCUCCCACGUGACAGAGCAUCGAGGAGGGGAGGAGUGAAAGGGGAACAAUGCAGUAGUCCCCCCAUCUGCAGAGCACCUCAAAACUGUACAGGAUGGCAUGCUGUGAGUGAACGCUUACUUCCCCUCUAAAUGGCCCAGUGACCCCUGCACUCUGGAGGUGACAGCACAAAAGGUUCAAAGCCACCGUUAGCCACAGUGAGUUUCAGGACAGCUUCAGCUACCUGAAAUCCAUCUCAACAAACACCCAGAGGCUCUUCUUAUUUAACAACAUUGAUAGACAAGAAAUAGACCUGCUCUGGGGUGCAAACUCCAUCAGACUGCCAUGUGGACAGAGACGCAGAGAAGCUGGAAGGCGGAGGAGGCCCCGAGAGCUGGACAGCACGUCCCUGCCUGACUCACCCAGAAGAUGUCAUAGAUGAAGAGUCCGCCAAGCAGGAUGCAGCCAGUGCUCACGUUGUUCAGGUGCAGG